AUUGAACGCUGGCGGCAGGCCUAACACAUGCAAGUCGAACGGUAACAGGAAGCAGCUUGCUGCUUUGCUGACGAGUGGCGGACGGGUGAGUAAUGUCUGGGAAACUGCCCGAUGGAGGGGGAUAACUACUGGAAACGGUAGCUAAUACCGCAUAACGUCGCAAGACCAAAGAGGGGGACCUUCGGGCCUCUUGCCAUCGGAUGUGCCCAGAUGGGAUUAGCUUGUUGGUGAGGUAACGGCUCACCAAGGCGACGAUCCCUAGCUGGUCUGAGAGGAUGACCAGCCACACUGGAACUGAGACACGGUCCAGACUCCUACGGGAGCAGCAGUGGGGAAUAUUGCACAAUGGGCGCAAGCCUGAUGCAGCCAUGCCGCGUGUAUGAAGA
This 386-nucleotide ribosomal RNA is filed under the name Citrobacter amalonaticus. RNAcentral's name for it is "bacterial SSU rRNA". It matches the Rfam family "Bacterial small subunit ribosomal RNA", at positions 30 to 411 of the family's 1533-position model. Lineage: Bacteria; Pseudomonadati; Pseudomonadota; Gammaproteobacteria; Enterobacterales; Enterobacteriaceae. The record is from RNAcentral.